GACUCUCGGCAACGGAUAUCUAGGCCCUCGCAUCGAUGAAGAACGUAGCGAAAUGCGAUACUUGGUGUGAAUUGCAGAAUCCCGUGAACCAUCGAGUCUUUGAACGCAAGUUGCGCCCGGAGCCUCGGCCGAGGGCACGCCUGCUUGGGCGUCACGCC
This 158-nucleotide ribosomal RNA is filed under the name Alisma lanceolatum. RNAcentral's name for it is "5.8S ribosomal RNA". It matches the Rfam family "5.8S ribosomal RNA". Rfam says of the family: 5.8S ribosomal RNA (5.8S rRNA) is a component of the large subunit of the eukaryotic ribosome. It is transcribed by RNA polymerase I as part of the 45S precursor that also contains 18S and 28S rRNA. The record is from RNAcentral. Lineage: Eukaryota; Viridiplantae; Streptophyta; Magnoliopsida; Alismatales; Alismataceae.